CAGCCGCCACGGUAAUACGAAGGUCCCGAGCGUUGUUCGGAAUCACUGGGCGUAAAGCGUGCGCAGGCGGUUUGUUAAGACAGAUGUGAAAUCCCCGGGCUCAACCUGGGAACUGCAUUUGUGACUGGCAAGCUAGAGUGUGGCAGAGGGGGGUGGAAUUCCGCGUGUAGCAGUGAAAUGCGUAGAUAUGCGGAGGAACACCGAUGGCGAAGGCAGCCCCCUGGGCCAACACUGACGCUCAUGCACGAAAGCGUGGGGAGCAAACAGGAUUAGAUACCCCCGUAGUCCCUGUCUCUUAUAC
This 301-nucleotide ribosomal RNA is filed under the name uncultured bacterium. Its description in RNAcentral is "partial 16S ribosomal RNA". It matches the Rfam family "Bacterial small subunit ribosomal RNA", at positions 509 to 807 of the family's 1533-position model. The record is from RNAcentral.